AUAUAUGUUACUCAACGCAUCGAAUGGAUGCCUCGACUCUCAACUCCGAUGAAGGACGUGGCCAGCUGCGAUAUGCUUCGGUCAGCCGCUAGGCAGGCGCUACCAGCCGAAGAUUUCCGAAUGAGGUAACUCCUGGGACGGAAUGGUCCCAGAUCUUGCGCAAGCAAGAAGGUAUACUCUGUGAACUGAAACAUCUCAGUAACAGGGGAAAAGAAAUCAAAUUAGAGAUUGCCUUAGUAGUGGCGAGCGAAAAGGCAACAGCCCAAACCUGCGAGCUUGCUCGUGGGGGUUGUAGGACUCUCACAAACCGAUUGCACAACCGUAGACGAACGACCUGGAAAGGUCGGCCAUAGACGGUGAUAGCCCAGUAGUCGAAACGCGAGUGCACGGCGAGAUGUUCCUGAGUAAGGUCGGACACGUGUAAUCCGGCCCGAAUCCGGGAGGACCACCUUCCAAGGCUAAACACGUUGAGAGAUCAAUAGCGGAUAGUACCGUGAGGGAAAGGUGAAAAGCACCCCGAAAGGGGGAUGAAAUAGUUUCUGAAAUUCGAUGCGAACAACGAGUUGGAGCCCCGCAAGGGGUGACAGCAUUCCUUUUGCCUAAUGAGCCAACGACUUAGUUCUUAGCGGUGUGGCUAAGGCAGCAAUAGCCGAAGCCGGAGCGAAAGCGAGUCUUAAAUACGGCGUUUAUCGCUAGGACUAGACCCGAAACCGGGUGAGCUACCCAUGAGCAGGAUGAAGUUCGUCGAAAGACGAAUGGAGGUCCGAACCAUAAAGUGUCGCAAGACUUUGGGAUGACUUGUGGGUUGGAGUGAAAAGCUUACCGAACCCGGAGAUAGCUGGUUCUCCUCGAAAUGUAUUUAGGUACAGCCUCGUGAUAUACGACAAGGGGUAGAGCUACUGUUUCGAUAAGGGGGUCUUCUAGGCCUACCGAGUCCUGACAAACUCCGAAUACUUGUCUUUAGAGUCACGGGAGUGAGACAGUGACAGCGAAGUGCCAUUGUCGAGAGGGCAACAGCCCAGAUCGUUUGCUAAGGUCCCCAAGAACAGUUAAGUAUAUCAAAGGAAGUAUUAUCGCAUAAACAACCAGGAGGUUUGCUUAGAAGCAGCCAUCCUUUAAAGAAAGCGUAACAGCUCACUGGUCGAUUGCGAUGAUGCGCCGAAAAUUUACGGGAUUAAACUGUUCACCGACGCAGCGAGUGCGUGGAGCAUGCGUGCUCCAUGCGCAGUAGAGGAGCGUUCUAUUCAGCAGCGAAGCCCGACUGUAAGGUCGAGUGGAGCGGAUAGAAGUGAGACUGUUGGCAUGAGUAACCACAAGGCAGGUGAAAACCCUGCCCGCCGAAUUCCCAAGGUUUCCCACGCAACGUCGAUCGGCGUGGGGUUAGUCGGUCCUAAGGUGAGGCUGAAAAGCGUAGCCGAUGGACAGCAGGUCAAUAUUCCUGCACCUCGUAUAGAUCGACCAAGAGAGUAGCUUGAGAGUCUUAUUGGCCUCUGCUUCUCCACUGAGCGCUUCCCUUAUAAAGGAGCGUUGAGUGGAGAAGCAUGUCGACGAGACAGGAUGGUUACGAUCUAAGAAGGGCGUGACGGAGACGGAACCCCAGAGCGUCUGCAUUGACUGGACGUAGAAAACGCGAAGUAUUGAUAGCCGGAGGCAAAUCCCCGGUUUGAGCUGAGCGUCGAUCAAUCACCCCCUUUACCGGGGCUGAGUCUGAAGGUUUCAUCUUCCAAGAAAACCGUCAUUCUGAGAGCUAUAUGAGACCGUACCGCAAACCAACACUGGUGGGAUGGUCGAGUAGACCAAGGCGAUCGGGACAACUUGCGUUAAGGAACUCUGCAAAAAAGCGUCCGUAACUUCGGGAUAAGGACUGCCUCGUAGCAAUACGAGGCCGCAGCGAAAGGUGUCCCUGCGACUGUUUACCAAAAACACAGGUCCCUGCGAAGCCGUAAGGCAAUGUAUAGGGGCUGAUGCCUGGCCAGUGCUAGAAGGUCACGUGAGGGGGUGUAUGCCUCCGAUCUAAGCCCUAGCGAACGCCGGCCGUAACUAUAACGGUCCUAAGGUAGCGAAAUUCCUUGUCGGGUGGUCGGUAACGACACUUGCCCGAAACCCGCUAAAGCGGGUGCACUAAGGAAUCAGUCGUGUUUGUACAGUCCAAAAGCAUCUUUCAUCAUUAUGAGAUUUUCUCGUGAUGAAGUUCAAUGACAGAAAAGCAUCGAGAAGUACCAUACUAGUGAUACAACGCGGCUAUAUGCUGGAACAUCCCAGAAUCCUCUACGCCGAAAGGUACGAGGUGGGGACAAUCAGCAGGGAAGACCCGAAAGGGAACCCUCAGAGACUACACGCCGCGCUCCGCACUUGUUGCGGAGAUGAUAUAGUCCGAUCCCUGCAGCGAUGUAGGGUGACAGAAAUUCGUCUGUCAGAUAAAAAACUCACGUUACCGAAUGUCGGUACAGGUAUGUGCGCUUAAGGUUUUUGCCUUGAGUUCUCGGCUAACCACCGAGAGGAACCUACAUUUGAAGUUCCGACCCGCACGAAUGGUAUCACGGUGGGGAUUCUGUCUCGACGCAAGGCCCGGUGAAAUUGCAGACCAGGUAAAAAUGCCUGGUGAAUCACGGUAGGACGAAAAGACCCUAUGAAGCUUUACUGUAGGCUGGCAUUGCGCCAUUGGUUUACAUGCGCAGGAUAGGUGGGACCCUUUGAAGCCGUGGCUUUGGCCGCGGUGGAGGGGCCGUUGAGAUACCACCCUUGUGUUCCGAUGUCGCUAACGUGUGG
Molecule: ribosomal RNA, 2769 nt
Filed under: Candidatus Peribacteraceae bacterium
Lineage: Bacteria; Candidatus Peregrinibacteriota; Candidatus Peribacteria; Candidatus Peribacterales
Description: partial 23S ribosomal RNA
Rfam family: Bacterial large subunit ribosomal RNA
Source: RNAcentral